UUGGAUAUAUAUAUGGGGAAUUGAGAACACAUAUAGUGUGAACUAAAUUUUUCAAGAAAAAAAUCAGCAAUUUUUUUUAGCCUUUUUCUGGUUCAAUUUCCAAUAAAAAGUCUAUUUAUUCAUUAGGUAAUCGAGUAUUAUCCAGUUUCUUUAUAAGUAUGUUAUUAUUAUUACUCUUCUAAUAUCAGAAAUAACAUUUUCAUCAUCAUAUCAUACUCCUCAAGCCUUACUUGUAGGAUUAUAUGAGGUUCGGUGAGUCAUGCCAUGUCGGAUGAGCAAGAUAUAAGAAAGAUCAAUACAAAAUGCAUAGGAAUUAAUACAAUGGAACUAAAUGGGGAUUUUCAAGAACAAGACAUAUGGAGUACUACUCAUCAUGUUGUAAAGAAGAAAUUAACCACCACUACUCCAAAGUUGAUCAUCCCAAGAGGUAAAAGUACUACUAGUAUUAGCAACCACAAUGUGUCCAAAUUGCCAAAACAAUCAUCAGCACCUGUUAAGAUACCUGAUUGGUCCAAGAUUUACAACAAGAAAUCAUCAAGAUUGUUGAAGAAUAAUGGUUGUUAUUAUGGAAGUGUUGAUGACAAUGUUGUUGAGGAAGAUGGAGAUAGUGAUGAUGGAAUGGUACCACCACAUGAAUAUAUAGAUAGAAGGGUUGCUAGGAUUCAAGUUGCUUCUUCAUCUAUGUGUGAAGGUGUUGGAAGGACACUUAAGGGAAGAGAUCUUAGUAAAGUGAGGAAUUCCAUCUUAACCAAGACUGGGUUUUUGGAAUAAAAUCACAUCAACAACAACAUGGGGUUGGGGGUUGGGGCAAUUGUAAAUUGUCAUUUUUAGUAUUAUGGUCUUUUUUAUUAGCGAACGAGCUAUGGUAAAGUUGCCUCUAUAUGUUACAGACUUACAGGUUCGAUCCAUGAUAUCCGUUAUUGAUGUUUGCAAUUGGGGUGGGGGGGGGAGAGGUUUCAAUUGUAAAUUGUCAUUUUUAGUAUUAUGGUCUUUUUUAUUAGCGAACGAGCUAUGGUAAAGUUGUCUCUAUAGGUUACAAACUUACAGGUUCGAGCCAUGAUAUCCGUUAUUAAUGUUUGCAUCGGGGGGUGGAGUGGGGUGGGGGGGUUGCAAUUGUAAAUUGUCAUUUUUAGUGUUAUGGUCUUUUUUAUUAGCGAACGAGCUAUGGUAAAAUUGUCUCUAUAGGCUACAGACUUACAGGUUAGAGCCAUGAUAUCUGUUUUUAAUGUUUGCAUGGGGAUUGUGCAAUUGUAAAUUGUGAUUUUUAG
This is a long non-coding RNA of Capsicum annuum, 1268 nucleotides long. RefSeq lists it as uncharacterized. The record is from RefSeq and is a predicted model, not a curated record. The transcript has 2 exons. Lineage: Eukaryota; Viridiplantae; Streptophyta; Magnoliopsida; Solanales; Solanaceae.